This is a non-coding RNA of Mycena leptocephala, 94 nucleotides long. Lineage: Eukaryota; Fungi; Basidiomycota; Agaricomycetes; Agaricales; Mycenaceae. The record is from the annotation of a GenBank genome assembly.
GGCUCGGUGGCAGAGUGGUAAAAUGCAUCCGCUUCUUUUAAGGAAAGACCCUGAUUGUUUGCGGAGGUCGCCUGUUCGAACCAGGCCCGAGCCA